Molecule: ribosomal RNA, 657 nt
Filed under: bacterium LB-135
Lineage: Bacteria
Also listed under: 1 other name
Description: bacterial SSU rRNA
Rfam family: Bacterial small subunit ribosomal RNA
Source: RNAcentral
GUACCCUGGUAGUCCACGCUGUAAACGAUGUCGACUUGGAGGUUGUUCCCUUGAGGAGUGGCUUCCGGAGCUAACGCGUUAAGUCGACCGCCUGGGGAGUACGGCCGCAAGGUUAAAACUCAAAUGAAUUGACGGGGGCCCGCACAAGCGGUGGAGCAUGUGGUUUAAUUCGAUGCAACGCGAAGAACCUUACCUACUCUUGACAUCCAGAGAACUUAGCAGAGAUGCUUUGGUGCCUUCGGGAACUCUGAGACAGGUGCUGCAUGGCUGUCGUCAGCUCGUGUUGUGAAAUGUUGGGUUAAGUCCCGCAACGAGCGCAACCCUUAUCCUUUGUUGCCAGCGGUUCGGCCGGGAACUCAAAGGAGACUGCCAGUGAUAAACUGGAGGAAGGUGGGGAUGACGUCAAGUCAUCAUGGCCCUUACGAGUAGGGCUACACACGUGCUACAAUGGCAUAUACAAAGAGAAGCGACCUCGCGAGAGCAAGCGGACCUCAUAAAGUAUGUCGUAGUCCGGAUUGGAGUCUGCAACUCGACUCCAUGAAGUCGGAAUCGCUAGUAAUCGUGGAUCAGAAUGCCACGGUGAAUACGUUCCCGGGCCUUGUACACACCGCCCGUCACACCAUGGGAGUGGGUUGCAAAAGAAGUAGGUAGCUUAAC